Molecule: unclassified non-coding RNA, 322 nt
Filed under: soil metagenome
Description: partial contains 5.8S ribosomal RNA, internal transcribed spacer 2, and large subunit ribosomal RNA
Rfam family: 5.8S ribosomal RNA (bases 1-120)
Source: RNAcentral
GAUGAAGAACGCAGCGAAAUGCGAUAAGUAGUGUGAAUUGCAGAAUUCAGUGAAUCAUCGAAUCUUUGAACGCACAUUGCGCCCCUUGGUAUUCCAUGGGGCAUGCCUGUUCGAGCGUCAUUUGUACCUUCAAGCUUUGCUUGGUGUUGGGUGUUUGUCCCUCGGGACUCGCCUUAAAGUCAUUGGCAGCCAGUGUUUUGGUUUUGAAGCGCAGCACAAGUCGCGAUUCAAGGCUAUCCGCCCGCUUCCACAAGCCUUUUUCACUUUUGACCUCGGAUCAGGUAGGGAUACCCGCUGAACUUAAGCAUAUCAAUAAGCAGGA